GGUUAAGCGACUAAGCGUACACGGUGGAUGCCUAGGCAGUCAGAGGCGAUGAAGGGCGUGCUAAUCUGCGAAAAGCGUCGGUAAGGUGAUAUGAACCGUUAUAACCGACGAUACCCGAAUGGGGAAACCCAGUGCAAUUCGUUGCACUAUUGCAUGGUGAAUACAUAGCCAUGCAAGGCGAACCGGGGGAACUGAAACAUCUAAGUACCCCGAGGAAAAGAAAUCAACCGAGAUUCCCCCAGUAGCGGCGAGCGAACGGGGAGGAGCCCAGAACCUGAAUCAGCAUAUGUGUUAGUGGAAGCGUCUGGAAAGUCGCACGGUACAGGGUGAUAGUCCCGUACACAAAAAUGCAUAUGUUGUGAGUUCGAUGAGUAGGGCGGGACACGUGACAUCCUGUCUGAAUAUGGGGGGACCAUCCUCCAAGGCUAAAUACUCCUGACUGACCGAUAGUGAACCAGUACCGUGAGGGAAAGGCGAAAAGAACCCCGGCGAGGGGAGUGAAAUAGAACCUGAAACCGUGUACGUACAAGCAGUGGGAGCACCUUCGUGGUGUGACUGCGUACCUUUUGUAUAAUGGGUCAGCGACUUAUAUUUUGUAGCAAGGUUAACCGAAUAGGGGAGCCGUAGGGAAACCGAGUCUUAACUGGGCGAAUAGUUGCAAGGUAUAGACCCGAAACCCGGUGAUCUAGCCAUGGGCAGGUUGAAGGUUGGGUAACACUAACUGGAGGACCGAACCGACUAAUGUUGAAAAAUUAGCGGAUGACUUGUGGCUGGGGGUGAAAGGCCAAUCAAACCGGGAGAUAGCUGGUUCUCCCCGAAAGCUAUUUAGGUAGCGCCUCGUGAACUCAUCUUCGGGGGUAGAGCACUGUUUCGGCUAGGGGGUCAUCCCGACUUACCAAACCGAUGCAAACUCCGAAUACCGAAGAAUGUUAUCACGGGAGACACACGGCGGGUGCUAACGUCCGUCGUGAAGAGGGAAACAACCCAGACCGCCAGCUAAGGUCCCAAAGUCAUGGUUAAGUGGGAAACGAUGUGGGAAGGCAUAGACAGCCAGGAUGUUGGCUUAGAAGCAGCCAUCAUUUAAAGAAAGCGUAAUAGCUCACUGGUCGAGUCGGCCUGCGCGGAAGAUGUAACGGGGCUAAACCAUG
RNAcentral lists this ribosomal RNA (1148 nucleotides) under Yersinia enterocolitica. RNAcentral describes it as "partial 23S ribosomal RNA". It matches the Rfam family "Bacterial large subunit ribosomal RNA", at positions 1 to 1191 of the family's 2925-position model. Lineage: Bacteria; Pseudomonadati; Pseudomonadota; Gammaproteobacteria; Enterobacterales; Yersiniaceae. The record is from RNAcentral.